RNAcentral lists this ribosomal RNA (497 nucleotides) under uncultured bacterium. Its description in RNAcentral is "partial 16S ribosomal RNA". It matches the Rfam family "Bacterial small subunit ribosomal RNA", at positions 28 to 507 of the family's 1533-position model. The record is from RNAcentral.
GGUGAACGCUGGCGGCGUGCCUAACACAUGCAAGUCGAGCGAACAGAUCAUAAGCUUGCUCUUUUGACGUUAGCGGCUGACGGGCGAGUAACACUUGGAUAAGCAACUUAUAUUACUUGGAUAACUUCGGGAACCCGCAUCUAAUACUGCAUCAUAUAUUCAACCGCAUGGUUCAAGCGUUAACGCUUGCUUUGCUUACACUUCUAGAUGUAUCCGCGCCGCAUUCGCUAGUUGGUAAGGUAACGGCUUACCAAGGCCACGAUCCGUAUCCGACCUGAAAGAGUGAUCAGCAACAAUGGAAAUGAGACAAGGUCAAGACUCCGAAGGGAGGAAGCAGUAGGGAAUAUUGAACAAUGGGCGAAAGCCUGACGGAGGAAUGCAGCGUGAGGGAAGAAGGGCUUCGGAUCGUAAAGCGCGUUUGUUAGGGAAGAACAAAUGGAUAAUAAACCAUGCAUGUUGUGACGGUACCUAAACAAAAAGCCACGGCUAACUACGUG